AUUCACUGUUAUCAUUUUCAGGGUCAUCCCUAGGGGGAGAGAAAACCAUUUGUAGAUGUAAUCAAAGCCCAGGCCAGGGUCUUCAUCUCUCAAGCAACACUGACACCAAUAGCCAUGGAUAUAAACCCAAGGUCCUAUUUUAGGAGGCUAGGGGUCAUCCCAGGAACCUUGGUAAGACAGGGACAAUAAAGGAAGGCAAUCACCUACAGAAGGUGUGCUCUGAGUCACACACACUGCUGCUUCCUUUCCUACAUCUCAACACGAAAACCAGUGCCCUCUCCUUUACAGACAGAAGGAAGGACUCAGGUGAAGGGUGGGCCCACACAGCGGGAACGUGGCAGAGCCUACUGACCAUCCAGGAGCCAGCAGGAGGCACUUUCAGGCCCAGGCAGAGGGACUGAAUAGUCACAAAGCCCCAAAUACUGAUUUCCUGGCCCCUACGACAAAAGCAUGCCAGGCCCUGCUCUGGGCCACUGCAUUCCUCUGCCUACCCACAACCUGUGCCAGGACCACCCUGCUCAGAUGCUUGAAGAGCAAGGAAUAGGCAACCCCAGGCUGAUUUUAGACUAAGACCACAGACCUGCUGGUGCCAUAGUCCAGUUUAAAAUCAAUUACCUAAGUAGGUGCAUUCUAAGAAAUGUCCUAUGUUUGAGGGAAGGAAUGCAAUCUUGAUAUUUCAUAAAGACUUUUGCCACCCAGAUAACAGUUACCAUCCUCACUAUGGACAUUUUUAGGACACUAAACAUUAAAUAAUGAAAAUCCUCAGCACCCCUAAUUCCAGAACCCAGAGACAGCCAACUUCUCUCAGCAUUGUAAGGAACUUCAAACAAACUGUGUCUCUGGGUCUAGACACAAUUUUGUUUCCUGCUAUAUGCCUCAAG
This is a long non-coding RNA of Phyllostomus discolor (pale spear-nosed bat), 881 nucleotides long. RefSeq lists it as uncharacterized. The record is from RefSeq and is a predicted model, not a curated record. NCBI's taxonomy places the organism in Eukaryota, Metazoa, Chordata, Mammalia, Chiroptera, Phyllostomidae. The transcript is spliced from 2 exons.